GACGAACGCUGGCGGCGUGCUUAACACAUGCAAGUCGAACGGAAAGGCCCUGCUUGCAGGGUACUCGAGUGGCGAACGGGUGAGUAACACGUGGGUGAUCCGCCCUGCACUUCGGGAUAAGCCUGGGAAACUGGGUCUAAUACCGGAUAGGAGCCAUUUUUAGUGUGAUGGUUGGAAAGUUUUUUCGGUGUAGGAUGAGCUCGCGGCCUAUCAGCUUGUUGGUGGGGUAAUGGCCUACCAAGGCGGCGACGGGUAGCCGGCCUGAGAGGGUGGACGGCCACAUUGGGACUGAGAUACGGCCCAGACUCCUACGGGAGGCAGCAGUGGGGAAUAUUGCACAAUGGGCGCAAGCCUGAUGCAGCGACGCCGCGUGGGGGAUGACGGCCUUCGGGUUGUAAACUCCUUUCGCUAGGGACGAAGCUUUUUGUGACGGUACCUAGAUAAGAAGCACCGGCUAACUACGUG
This 465-nucleotide ribosomal RNA is filed under the name uncultured bacterium. RNAcentral describes it as "partial 16S ribosomal RNA". It matches the Rfam family "Bacterial small subunit ribosomal RNA", at positions 28 to 507 of the family's 1533-position model. The record is from RNAcentral.